RNAcentral lists this long non-coding RNA (683 nucleotides) under Cyanistes caeruleus (blue tit). RNAcentral describes it as "lncRNA (ENSCCEG00000001847.1)". The record is from RNAcentral. Lineage: Eukaryota; Metazoa; Chordata; Aves; Passeriformes; Paridae.
CCCCGGAGAGCGGGGACCGCCCCUCUGGGCCGUGCAUCCGCCCCCCCGUCACGGGCGCUGUGCACCGCCUCCGCCCCCCAGGCCCCAGCGGCUGUUCCCGCUGUGACGGUGCUGCCCCGCCGCCGCUGGGAUUGUUCCUCACCAUUGGCACGGUACUUAACAAGCUAAUCUCUGUAUUUCUUGAAUACGCACGAAUUAGCAGCUGACACAAACACUUGGGGGAAAUAAUAUAGCAUAAGUUAAGGGUGUAACUGUGCCUUCAAAACUCACUUCAGAGCUGACCCAGCAAAUGCACAAAUUAUACCGAAGUCUUUCAGAACGGCAGCAAACAGUUUUCAACACAGCGCGCUGCAGGUAGCUGCUCACUGAAAGAAGGAGCGAAGCAGUUAACUGUGUGGGGAGUCCAUCAGUGAAAACUUUUGCAACAGACAUUCAAGAGUGGUUUACACCUGAGGCUGUACUCCCUGGUGAUGAGGACAGGAUAGCAGAGUGUAAUUCCUGGUUUCUGUUUCUGGCCCUGGGGACCCACCAGGUCUUUAUGAUUGUGAAUGCCAUCCUGUACAUUGCUGGACCACAGAAUAAAAACCCAGAAGCGUUAUGUGAUAAAAUGAUGAAGACACUCAACGCUGCGUUGGUGCGCAAGGUCUCAGGCUUGUCCCGGCGGUAGCAGGAGCUCUGGAGCC